This 24-nucleotide non-coding RNA is filed under the name Arabidopsis thaliana (thale cress). The record is from RNAcentral. Lineage: Eukaryota; Viridiplantae; Streptophyta; Magnoliopsida; Brassicales; Brassicaceae.
AUACAAUGUUUUCACGUAAUGGUC